GAAAAACUGAAGAUGUUUUUCAAUGGCAAUAGCCAGUAAUCCAUAAUAGUAUCAAAUGAUAAAUGAUUAUGUGCCUUCAUGUAGUAGGCAACAUAGGACAUUUGGGUAACUGUACAUAGUACUGUUUGUAUUCCAAGCAAGUCAUUGCUCCUGACUCCAAACAACUUACACGACCUGUUGUGUCUGGGUCACCCCCUAUGGGACAUAGAUCCCUCUCCUCAUCAGCCUAGUGUCUAGUCUAGAAUUAUCACCAAUUACUGAAAAGUUACAAAAAUGCCCUUGCAUAAAAUACUAGUGCCCUGUCCAUGGCUGUAGAAAUGACUGUGCUUAGAACUUGUGUACCCCUUGUGUAAUUCAUGUUUUCCCAAUAAUAUGGUUCAUUUGUUAAAAAAAAUGACCUUGCGUAAAAUACCAUUUUCAUGACUGUAGAAAAAACAUGACUGUGUUUAGAACGUGUGUACCCCUUGUGUAACCCAUGUUUCCCAAAUUAUAUGGUUCAUUUGUCAGGACAUACAGAUGUCAAACCCACCAGAAAAGGCCUGUACAGAGCUGACAGCUGUGGGAGGUACAGUUACUGUAGACACAUGAGAAGAGGCACAUGUUGCCUCCUUAAUUUGUCAUGCCGACUGCUUCGGCUCCGGGCUUCGCUUCGGGCGGGCGGCCCGACCGCGUUCCCUCGACGGCGACACCUUGGCUCAUCCUUAGUUUUCAAAGUAACCUAAAUGUUUCGCGGUCCGUCCGCCUCGGACAGAUUUUCCUACAGCAUCCAAGCAACUGAUUUCCCGCGAAGAAGUUUGGGUCGUAAAGGAGGGGCAUAUCAUCGCCAGCGCCGUGAUGACUCUUACAUUUGCCAAAACUCGAGAUGGCUGCAAGACAGACUUCUACACCCUGCUCUUGAAAGAGAAGAUCUCCAAAAGGGACUUCGAGUUGCCACUCAUAUUAAGAAAUGACAAGACAAGAUGGGCGGAAAUCGCGUCCAAGUAGCUCAAUAACACAGAGUGAUCAACAGAACGCAUUCCUUAACAAGCUGCAGCAGCAGCAGGCCGUUCGCGAAAGAGAUGGCAGAGAGUUUCCAGCGAAUGGACCAACGAUUGCAAAAAAUGGAGAGCGACAGGAAAGAAGAAAAGAGGCGAGAGGAUGGAAACCAAGAGAAGAAUCCGAAGGAACUGUAAAUAUACAGCUCAGAAGUCCUGCCCUCCAUGGUACCAAGCUGCAAACAAAGGUGGUGGAGCCGUGGUCCCUUGUAAGCUGCACCUGCAGGUGAGGAGCAGGGAGACAGCUGUGGAGGUGCUGAGAGCUGGGUUCGAGAGCGACCUCGGUCGGAGAAGGACGUCCUGACCAUCCUAUAGGUUAACGUAACGCCGGCCAUGACUAAUAAAGACUUCAAGAAAAUAAAUGUUUCGAUUGCAUCCUUUAACUAAACGUCAUGGCAAGUAAUGGCACUUCAAAGACAUAUAUGUUUUGAGUGAACAGUCUUUCCGUUUCCUAGAAUUGUGACUGAUUCUAACGUUACCUACUGGAUUAUGCAUUUUCCAGUUUUUAAAACGUUGUCAUUACGCAAGUUUCACGUGCAAUAAAAUCCAAAGUUACGACAGUUCUAUGACGGAAUAUAAUGCCCUAGCAAACAUCAUACCACAUAAAACUACUUAAAAUGAGGUCCGAAAAAAGAUGAUUUCUCAGUUUUACUAAUUCUACUUUUACUUUUAAUUUUGCAUUCUCAGCAACGGUAAACAUGGCGGUACAGCGUAUACAACCCUAUCCCUACUCCAAAGCAGCAGAAGAUCGGCGGUUUACGUAUGUAUGCGUAAAAAUCAAUCGUAAAAUCACUUAAACGUUGAUCUGCUAUGAUAAAUACUAGGCUGAGAACUUGAAUUCUCGGUCAACCUAGCAGAGUUGCGGGAAUUCGAAGGUUCGUCAUCUUGGAUGUGUGGUGAAAUUUUGGGGUCAAGAUAACUACGCCUGUGUUUAGGCAAACAGCUUAUAGGUCAUACAUUGGCAGUAGCUAAAAUUAGCCAUUUGGAAGGAAAUGAUUAAUGGGAUGAUAGAAUGGAAUACAGGUUGAAUUUAUCUGCUAAUCACUAUAAAUUACUUCCCACUAGUACAGAGAAGAGAUUGCAGCUCUAACUCUAAAGUCUUUACUUUAAGUUAAAUGUGCACCUUACCAGUAAAUAUGUCUCAACUCUGAAAACACUUCUCAUUGUGACAUGCGACAUGGCAUUUCCCAACCCCAAUUUCCAAAUCAUAUCAUUCAAUCAUAUCUGUUUUGUUAAAAACGUCCAACCAAAUUUUGUGUAUUUUAGAAACAGGCUAAAUAACAUAAUUAGAAAUAGACAACAAUCUUUGUAACCUCAUGAACAGAACUUGAUGAUAUUUACUUUUUAGGUAUUACUAUGUUUGUAAACUUUAUAUUGAACUGUCUCUACACUGGUAGUGAAUGUUAAUAAAGUUGUAAAAAAAGUACUACCAACAUUUAAUGGAAAUGUUUGAGGAGAUAGGAAAGGUGACAGACACAACAGCAAUAAAUUGCAGUUUUGUGAAUAUUUCUGGAUGGAUGGAUAUCUUUGUGGAUACCACAACCACACCGAGCCUCGAGCCUUCCUACUCUAACUAGGGCCUGAUGGGAGAUCUGUUCCCCAGUCCUACAGAAUGCACUCAAACCGACACAAAGACUGGACCAUCCUACCCAACUUUUUGAAGAACGAGCCCCAAGUCACAUCCAUACCAAAGGAACAGACAAAGUUAUAUAUGCUUUUUUUCUUUUCCCGUUAAACUUUCCGAUUGUUGACAUCACAAAGUAAUAAAGUUUGCAUAUUUGUCAUCAAAUUUAAUCCCGAGUGUUUACACUUUGUUUACAGAUCUUUGAAUCUGACUUUGGCCACCAGGAUUUAUAACAACUGAGAACGGAUUUUGAAAAAUGUAUCGCUAAAUUAUAAAUAGAUGACCCAGAGAACAUUCACAAAUGGAGGCGAUUUUUCCAAGGACGCCAGGCGUUAGAAGAAAAAUGGUCUUGGAAGCAGCAGCCAAGAACAACAUGGCAACUGAAGCACUUGGAGGUAAAAUCUGAUGUUUUUAAUUAAACAUGUCAAACUGUUACACUUUCAUCAUGCAGACUCUAGUAGGUAAUUGUCUAUCUUGUUUUUUCUUAAAGCAUAAACUUAAAGCAUUUCUGUCAAAUUUGAGAGAACAUCCAUCCCUGAAGCUAGCCUCUCAUCUUCAACUGAGUCUAGUGAGGAAAUAGGUGUUAUAAAGUGACUUAAUAAAGGGCACAACAUUGGAGCCUGCUAGAGAUUUGAAUCCAGAACCUUUAUACCGGUAUUAUGAUCAUUAUUCAAUCUUUUUGGAGACUUUCAAGACAAAAGCGGCAACUAUGCCUGGAAGCACCCCGACUCCGCCACUCAGAGGCUGAUUCGCAACCUGCGAAACAGUGGCACCAGGGGGAAAUGAGUAGGCUGGAACAAUACAGUAGUUCAAGGACUUCCUGCAUCUGAAAGUCAAACAGCGGAUUGAAGAAGGAGUUCAAGAAGAAGACUUGGUGCCAGCCUUUGCCAAAUUAAAGGCGUUCCGAGCAAACAGAUUCAAUAUUCUGUUUGAGUGUGCGUCUGACCUCUACCUCCACAGGAAAGAUAUACAAGGCAUGUUCCAGGACGGGUAUGUUAAAGGCAGCAAAUAAGCUUCUGCGCGCAGUCCUAGCUGACAGCAGUCCUAGUUCAUGCUCGGAAUCCAAACAAACUAACAGCUAGAAAUGAUGACUGACGCAGAUAUCAACAACAACAUUGUCCUACGGAACCGUACAUUUUGUGCAAACAAAACUGGAGCGUGUAACUCAUGCGGUGAUGAACUAAAAUCUGUACAAACAUCUACAAGUCAAUCAAAUGCAUUGACUGUUUGAUUUCAAUUUCAGACAGGCUAAAAGAGGCCCUUGUUAGCCUCAAUCCAGAAAGCAGGGCUCAGUUGCUAAAAGGCCAAAGAUAACGCCAAUGGAGUGCCAGCUGGAUUGCUUUGACCUGAAGGACGUAGCUGAGGAUAUCAAAACUUCAUAUGUCCCAUUGAAAUCAGGUUAAAGUCUAGUACCUCGACAUGUACUUAAUCACACACACAAAUGAUUUUCAAGCAGUAACUAUUUUUUGGUCCUAGUUGUGACUUAAUUUUGGUUUUUGCAUGUUGUAGGUUAAGCAGGUAAUACAAUCAUUGCAAUCGUUAAUGUGAUGUGGAAAUUGUCAUGUGUCGGGAAGACUUGAUAGAAUAUAUGAGAUAACGCUUGAGAGACAUAAAUUGGCUGAAGCCUUAUUAUGCUCAGAUUGAAUGCACAUAAUGUGUGCACAUGUGCUCAACUACCGCUGGGGGCGUCAUCAUCUUCGCUCCGACAUGCCGUCAUCGGCCGGCGCAAGUCAUCAGUCCUCCGUCAAUCCUGACGUCCUUACUGAGAGUCUGUCAUCCGCGUACGUGUGACUGCACUUCAAUAUCUGUAUCCAAUUGCGACAACGUCACGGCCUACCUGACGUCAACUGUCUGCCCGUACGCCACCGUGACAGCCAACUCACCGCUGCCAGUAACACCUCCACCUGACGUCAACCACCUGCCUGUUGUGUGUGUUUCCUGCCUAUGGUGAACGCAAACCCCUAUGGACUUCAGGCACGCGUCAUGUCUUGACCUCCUUUGUGCUAACGAACGACCUGAGUGGACGGUUACGGUUUGUGAGUGACAGAGGUUUCUGCAGUUCGAUGUUUCUUGGUUCCUCCUUUCCAAUCAACGCCUUCUGCGCAUGGACCAAAACGCAG
Long non-coding RNA from Branchiostoma floridae (Florida lancelet), 4778 nucleotides. RefSeq lists it as uncharacterized. The transcript is spliced from 4 exons. The record is from RefSeq and is a predicted model, not a curated record. NCBI's taxonomy places the organism in Eukaryota, Metazoa, Chordata, Leptocardii, Amphioxiformes, Branchiostomatidae.